RNAcentral lists this ribosomal RNA (497 nucleotides) under uncultured bacterium. Its description in RNAcentral is "partial 16S ribosomal RNA". It matches the Rfam family "Bacterial small subunit ribosomal RNA", at positions 29 to 507 of the family's 1533-position model. The record is from RNAcentral.
UACUAACGCUGGCGGCGUGCCUAAUACAUGCAAGUUGAGCGAUGAAGAUUGGUGCUUGCACCAAUUUGAAGAGCAGCGAACGGGUGAGUAACGCGUGGGGAAUCUGCCUUUGAGCGGGGGACAACAUUUGGAAACGAAUGCUAAUACCGCAUAACAACUUUAAACAUAAGUUUUAAGUUUGAAAGAUGCAAUUGCAUCACUCAAAGAUGAUCCCGCGUUGUAUUAGCUAGUUGGUGAGGUAAAGGCUCACCAAGGCGAUGAUACAUAGCCGACCUGAGAGGGUGAUCGGCCACAUUGGGACUGAGACACGGCCCAAACUCCUACGGGAGGCAGCAGUAGGGAAUCUUCGGCAAUGGACGAAAGUCUGACCGAGCAACGCCGCGUGAGUGAAGAAGGUUUUCGGAUCGUAAAACUCUGUUGGUAGAGAAGAACGUUGGUGAGAGUGGAAAGCUCAUCAAGUGACGGUAACUACCCAGAAAGGGACGGCUAACUACGUG